GGGCGGGCUGCGACCCCUGCAUCCCACUGAAGCCAACAAGCUAAGGGCCGCUGAGAGUCGAGCCCCCCUCCCUCCUCCCCGCCCGCGCUACCUGUUGCUCUCUGUGCAAGAAGAGACAGCCAAUGCCUGGCAACUCCCUCCCAAGAUCCUAAGAAAAAUAGCUGUUAUCUCUUGCGGUGCGCAAUUUGGCGACCAGCUUCCUUCGGAGCGCGUUCAAAGUAAAGGCGGUCGCCGAUGGAGUGAUUUGCAGCGCCUUCCCCAGGAUCGAAGCAGGAAGAGCUUGGACAAAAUGCACGAUGGUGAAUUCGCUGGGCCCGGGGAGUCUUACAGAAAUUAAAUGCAAAAGACUGGAUGCAAAGGACGGGGUCUUUCCAAAUGUAUUUAUUCUCUGGCUCACAGAAGUAGUAAUUCCAUGAAUGGAAGGAGACCUUUGGCAUCAACCCAUAGUCCUUUCAGGAGAAGAAGGCCAAGUCGAGGAAUGAAGCUCCACGGAAGACAUGAAAAAGCAGGGAAGGUUGCAUUCGCCAACUCAUCUGACGUCCUUGGGCUGCUGAUGACAGCUGGAGCUGCAAAAUUUGUACAUAAUUCAAAAACAGUGGAUGCAUUUUGCCUCCCGCCCCCCUUUCUCUAUUUACUGUGUGCACACAUUUCAUUUGCAGCGUGGUUCAGUUUGCCUUCAUUUGAUCUGAUCGCUGCUUUGACCUGUCAUAUUUUAUCUUGGUGUCCUUUGGAAAGACCAUAUGCCACUUCCCUUAGUUACUUUGCUUGGCAGAAAACAGGAAGUAAAUUAUUCCCGAGAAGAUAGCUCGCCUCCUAGCUUUAACAUGCCUGACUCUAAAAGGCCCUUCACUCGAAUCGAACUCCCUGUUUAAAAAACUGGACUAUGGGUAUGACGGAAUUUGACGAGAAACUUCUAGGAUGAGCCCAACAGAUUUAUUUUCUUCCUUCCAGACCUCAUUUGAUGGUUGAUUUGUUAUUGUUAUUAGCAGGGCUCAUUUCGAGGGGAAACGCGCAGGAACGCAGUUCUGGCAGUUCCUCAAAGAGGUCACAUGUCAGGUGGGCCUGCCCGCCUGACUCUCGGCCAUUUAGGGUCCGUUUCAGCCUGGAUCAGGGCCAAAACGGCCUGGAUCGGGCCUCUGACGGGUGGUGGAUCACUCUCCCACUUAGCAGCAGCCUGAUCCUGACCAUUUUGGGCCCCUUUUCGGCCAUUUUCAGCCCCUUUUUGCCAUUUUGGGCCCAAUUUCAGCCCUGAAUGGCCAGGAUUGGGUCCAAAACAGCCAGGAUAGGUGAUAUCAGGGGGUGUGGCAUAUGCAAAUCAGUUAUGCCAAUGGCACACUUCCAUAACUCAUUAGCGUGUGCUAAUGAGUUUUGCUAAUGAGUUCCUCCAGCUCUUUUUCUACAAAAUGACCCCUAGUUAUUAGAGAUCUUCAGGUGGUGUUGUGAAGCUCUUAAUUCACCAAGUUAGUGUUCCCAACUCUGGGUUAGGAAAUUCCUGUAAGCUUGGGGAAGGACCUCUGCAGGGUAUGUCGCCCUCCAAAACAGCUGUUUUCUCCAAGGGAACUGAUCUCUGUAGUCUGGAGAUCAGUUGUGAUUCCAGGAGAUCUCCAAGCCUCGCCUGAAGGUGGGUAGCCUUGUACCAGGUCUUUUAAGGGUUUCUAAACUGCAGGCAUCUUGUGAUAGGGUUCAUAGAAUCAUAGAGUUGGAAGGGGGCCUCCACGGCCAUCUAGUCCAAUCCGCUGCACAAUGCAGGAAAUUCACAACUAUCUCCCCCCUCCGUGACCCCAGAAGAUAGCAAGAGGGGAAUAUCUGGUGCUUUAGUCUAUUCGUUUUAAGUUAUAAAGUGUUAACUGCAAAGUGUAAGCUGCCUUGAGCCACAAGGAAGGGAGGGAUAUGAGUAUUUAAAUAAAUAAACAUAGCAAGUGUGCAAAGGGGAGAACCUUCUAAAGUUAUAGUUACCAAAUUCAAGGUGGAGCCUAGAGUUCUCCUGCAAUUGGAACAGCUGUCAGCUUUGGGUGGUAGACUCUAUCACACCACAUCUCUACUGAGCGCCCUCUCCUCCAACACUGUCCUCUCAAGCACCGCAGCAGAAUCUCAAGGAAUUUCCUAAGCUAGAGUUGGCAACCCUAAUUAAAGUAGAGAACUCCACUCAAUUCACUUUUCACAUCUUGUGUAAUCAGACUCCUGGAUACAUGGUGGACUUCUAUCAUAGGCUGCAGCUUCCUGGCUCAUAUUCACUGCUUGUCACCUCUCCCUUUGCAUAUUAUGGGUUGGAGCCAAACCAUGUGAUUACAUCUGAAGGUGUACCUUUCGAUCAAUCAUCAUAGUUUGGCUCUACGCUGUGGUGUUUACUAUAGCUAGUAACAUCUGGUGUAUCUGAGUGCCAGUUCAUCAGACAAUAAUGCUGAGACUUCACAUAAUCUGUUAUUAAGAGAGAGAAGACUUCACAAGGUCUUGUCUUCCUGGCGGCUGGAUUUACAGCAAAUAAAAUGGAUGGAGAAACUGAAUUAAACAUUGACUUGAGUAUCUGCUGAGUUCCUCUAAGCCUGUGUUGUUGCCCAUCGCUCAUAAGCAUUGUGAUCCCAUAUAAGCAGCUACGACUAUAGAUUAGAAGUCUGCUCUUCAGGCAUUCUUGAAUCACUUCCAUGUGGAAAUUAAAGGGUAAUGAACAGUGAAGUGAUCUUGUAUACAACAACAACAACUUUGCUUAUAUGCCGCUCAUCUAGACAGAUUAGUGCCUCACCCAGAGCGGUGAACAAGUUAGUGUUAUUUUCACCACAAUACAAACUGGGGAGUUGAACUGAGAGGAGUGGCUUCCCCAAGGCCACCUACUGAGCUCAUGGCAGUAGUGGGAUUCAAACCAGCAGAGUGCUGAUUCACAGCCCAACCACUUAACCACUGUGCUACAGCAACUUUCAUAAUAACUCUGCUUAUAUACCACUCUUCUAGACAGAUCAGUGCCCCAUUCAGAGCAGUGAACAAAUCAGGGUUGUUAAUAUCCCCACAAUACAGCUGGGGGACUAGGGCUGAGAGGAGUGCCUUACCUAAGGCCAUCUGCUGAACUCACGGCAGUAGUGGGAGUCGAACCAGCAGAGUGCUGAUUCACAGCCCAACCACUUAACCACUGUGCUUGAGCUGGUCCCCAUUUCUCUGCCCAAGUAUCCUCAUCCUCUGCCCAAGUAUCCUCAAGAAGGCUCCAAGUUGGCCAAAUGAAAAUGUCCACAUUUGGUCCUUAGGAAUUUUUAUUUCACCUUCCCUGUGACCUGUUGAAGGCAAAGAGCCAGAGACAUGUUUUAUGCACUAGAAAUCAAUUAUUAGUGAUUUCUUUUUAGGUCUGGUAUGCUGCAGCUAUUCUGAUCUUCUCAGAACCUAGGCAUCCCAAUGUGUUAAUAGACUUUCUCCGUUUGCACACUGUUCCUGAUCACUUAACAGAGAGGCUUGAUGAAUCAUGCAUAAUAACAGUAGUUUUAGUCCAGUGGCACCUUAGAGACCAACAAGAGUUUCAGAGUGUAGCUUACACUCCGAAAAUCUUGCUGGUCUCUAAGGUGCCACUGGACUCAAAUCCUGCUCUUCCACUGCAGACCAACACGGCCACCCACCUAAACAACACUGACUUUGUUCUCUGCUCUGAAUGGGACACUCAUCUGUCUAGAAGAGCUGCAUAUAAGCAAGUUGGAUGUAAUGAAUACAUGUGUGAAACUGCCUCUUCCAUUAAUAUGUGCAAGAGUCCCCGUUUGGAAGUUCCUACUCUGAGCUUUUCAAGGCAGAAAUAUAAUAAAUACAAGGUUUGAAUCCAGUAGCACCUUAAAGAGCAACUAGAUUUCCAGGGUAUGAGCUUUUGAGAGUCAGAGCUCCCUUCAUCAGAUACAAAGACUUUUCCCACUGACAAAGGGAGCUCUGACUCUUGAAAAACCAUACCCUGGAAAUCUAGUUGUUCUUUAAAGUGCUAUUGGACCCAAAUCUUGCUCUUCCACUACAGACCAACACAGCCACCCACCUGACAAUAAUAAAUGCAGUAUGCUUGUUUAUUUAAAUGAGGAGAGAGGUCUGAUUAAUUUCUCAUUUUGUAUUCUAAAAAGAGUGUCUUUUUUUUGUUCUUCUUUUGCUUCACUAUUCCCAUAACUGCUGCAGGAUGUUUCAGUCUGUAUUGUAACCAUCCAGCACCUCCUGCUCCGAUUCAGUCUGUAACACAUUCUGUACUCCAUUUUAAGUCGCUUCAAACUGCACAGUUGGCAACUCGAUUUUGCCCUGAAACAUCCUCCCCUUCUUUUCCUCCCCAAUUUUCCUCCUUUGGUGUUUUAAAACACUUCAAAACUUGCUCUGU
Long non-coding RNA from Eublepharis macularius, 4321 nucleotides. RefSeq lists it as uncharacterized. The record is from RefSeq and is a predicted model, not a curated record. The transcript is spliced from 6 exons. Lineage: Eukaryota; Metazoa; Chordata; Lepidosauria; Squamata; Eublepharidae.